This 489-nucleotide ribosomal RNA is filed under the name uncultured bacterium. RNAcentral describes it as "bacterial SSU rRNA". It matches the Rfam family "Bacterial small subunit ribosomal RNA", at positions 29 to 524 of the family's 1533-position model. The record is from RNAcentral.
AGCGAACGUUAGCGGCGGGCCUAACACAUGCAAGUCGAGCGAGAAAGGGGGUUCGCCCCCGAGUACAGCGGCGGACGGGUGAGUAACACGUAGGUAAUUUUCCCUUGAGCGGGGGACAACGUUCCGAAAGGGACGCUAAUACCGCAUAAGUUCUUGGGUGCUUCGGCACUGGAGAGGAAAGCUAGGCCGCAAGGUCUGGCACUCGAGGAGAAGCCUGCGUCGCAUCAGCUAGUUGGUGGGGUAAUGGCCUACCAAGGCAAAGACGCGUAGCUGGUCUGAGAGGAUGAUCAGCCACACUGGGACUGAGACACGGCCCAGACUCCUACGGGAGGCAGCAGUGGGGAAUAUUGGGCAAUGGGCGAAAGCCUGAUCCAGCAAUGCCGCGUGAGUGAUGAAGGCCUUAGGGUUGUAAAGCUCUUUUACCCGGGAUGAUAAUGACAGUACCGGGAGAUAAGCCCCGGCUAACUCCGUGCCAGCAGCCGCGGUAAU